AGCCAGGCCACCUGUCGGAUUAUCAUCCUCCAAAUCCUGCAUCAAUAUAAGAGACAGAGGAUCAUGGUUCAUUCUGGAAAUGAUCUGGCAGAUGUCCAGAGCGAAGACUAAAGGAAAACCUGGGUGGUGUGCCAGUUAUCCAUUUAUCGCCUCCAGCUCCAAGCUUGCCUUCCGGUUCCUGCUCUGCAGUCCCGGCUCGACUCGAAGCCAGUCUCCCUCCAGAAAGCACAAUGUUAAGCUUUGUCAGUAGAGGG
RNAcentral lists this long non-coding RNA (254 nucleotides) under Equus caballus (horse). RNAcentral's name for it is "lncRNA (ENSECAG00000055885.1)". Lineage: Eukaryota; Metazoa; Chordata; Mammalia; Perissodactyla; Equidae. The record is from RNAcentral.